Molecule: transfer RNA, 97 nt
Filed under: Streptomyces termitum
Lineage: Bacteria; Bacillati; Actinomycetota; Actinomycetes; Kitasatosporales; Streptomycetaceae
Description: tRNA-Arg
Source: RNAcentral
GCUGGGGCUGGGCGGGGUGAUCGGCGCCGGGCUCUUCGUGGGCUCGGGGGCGGGCAUCGCGGUCGCCGGGCCGGGGAUCGUGGUCUCGUACCUGCUC